AACGCACAUUGCGCCCUCUGGUAUUCCGGAGGGCAUGCCUGUUCGAGCGUCAUUUAAAGACCAUCAAGCUCUGCUUGGUAUUGGGCAUUCGUCCCUGCAGUGGACUUGCCCUAAAGACCUUGGCGGUGGCCCCGAGCCUCAAGCGUAGUAGAUCAUCUUCCCGCUUACAGAGGACUCUCGGCUGCCCGCUUCUAGAAACCCCACAUCUCAAGAUUGACCUCGGAUCAGGUAGGGAUACCCGCUGAACUUAA
This 251-nucleotide unclassified non-coding RNA is filed under the name Dioszegia sp. Its description in RNAcentral is "partial contains 5.8S ribosomal RNA, internal transcribed spacer 2, and large subunit ribosomal RNA". The stretch from base 1 to 52 matches the Rfam family "5.8S ribosomal RNA", at positions 103 to 154 of the family's 154-position model. The record is from RNAcentral. Lineage: Eukaryota; Fungi; Basidiomycota; Tremellomycetes; Tremellales; Bulleribasidiaceae.